UACGAACGGUGCAAGCGUUACUCGGAAUCACUGGGCGUAAAGCGCACGUAGGCGGACUUACAGGUCAAUUGUGAAAUACCUGGGCUCAACCCAGGAACUGCAGUUGAAACCGUUUGUCUUGAAUACCUGAGAGGGUGGGGGAAUACCUGGUGGAGAAGUGAAAUUCGUAGAGAUCAGGUGGAACACCGGAGGCGAAGGCGCCUGCCUGGCAGUGUAUUGACGCUGAGGUGCGAAAGUGCGGGGAGCAAACAGG
Molecule: ribosomal RNA, 253 nt
Filed under: uncultured bacterium
Lineage: Bacteria
Description: partial 16S ribosomal RNA
Rfam family: Bacterial small subunit ribosomal RNA
Source: RNAcentral